This 573-nucleotide unclassified non-coding RNA is filed under the name Hevea brasiliensis (rubber tree). The record is from RNAcentral. Lineage: Eukaryota; Viridiplantae; Streptophyta; Magnoliopsida; Malpighiales; Euphorbiaceae.
CGGUUCCACCCACUUUUCCAUUUUCUGAUCCAGUAACAAUUCGAAACUUUUAAAUCCCCUCUCGAUAAUCUCGCACAAUGCAUGUUCCAAAUCUAGAAUCUUUUGGUCCCAAGAUUGCACUUCCAUGAUCCGCUUUUUUCUUCCCCCUUGCCAGUCCUCAGAAGGCUGUGACACUAAAUUCAAAAGAAGAACAGAGAAGCAGAAAAGGGAAUUGAUAGGAAAAGAUUUAUUUUCAGGAAAAUUGGGAAAGAAUUAGAGAAAGAAGAUAGAUUAUUGAGUAGAAACCCUAGAAAUAGGGCUGUGACACUUCAGGAAGAAGAAUUAGAGUGACAGAAAAGGGAAGUUUAGGAAGAAAGCAAGAAAAGGAAAUAGAAAGGAGAAUUUCAAGAAGGAAAGAAAAAAGAAGAACAGAAGAAUCAGUAAUCAAAGGAAGCCAAGAAUCGAUGACUCUGAUGCCAAAUGUUAUGUAGUAAGGUCCUCAAUGGUCCCAAAAUUGCAGAACUGGAGAAUAAGAAUGCAGAGGGAAGAACAGAGUAGGAAUACAGAAGAAAGAAGAUCAUGAAAGAAGAAAAG